RNAcentral lists this ribosomal RNA (372 nucleotides) under uncultured organism. Its description in RNAcentral is "partial 16S ribosomal RNA". It matches the Rfam family "Bacterial small subunit ribosomal RNA", at positions 527 to 896 of the family's 1533-position model. The record is from RNAcentral.
GUAGGUGGCAAGCGUUGUCCGGAAUUAUUGGGCGUAAAGCGCGCGCAGGCGGUCCUUUAAGUCUGAUGUGAAAGCCCACGGCUCAACCGUGGAGGGUUAUUGGAAACUGGGGGACUUGAGUGCAGAAGAGAAGAGUGGAAUUCCACGUGUAGCGGUGAAAUGCGUAGAGAUGUGGAGGAACACCAGUGGCGAAGGCGACUCUUUGGUCUGUAACUGACGCUGAGGCGCGAAAGCGUGGGGAGCAAACAGGGAUUAGAUACCCUGGUAGUCCACGCCGUAAACGAUGAGUGCUAAGUGUUAGAGGGUUUCCGCCCCUUUAGUGCUGCAGCAAACGCAUUAAGCACUCCGCCUGGGAGUACGGCCGCAAGGCUG